This 3422-nucleotide long non-coding RNA is filed under the name Canis lupus familiaris (dog). RNAcentral describes it as "lncRNA (ENSCAFG00845008406.1)". The record is from RNAcentral. Lineage: Eukaryota; Metazoa; Chordata; Mammalia; Carnivora; Canidae.
ACAGAAUGAGAGAUUGAGAGAGAGAGAGAGAGAGAGAGAGAGAGAAAGGCAGAGGGAGAAGCAGGCUUCAUGCAGGGAGCCCAACGUGGGACUUGAUCCCAGGUCUCCAGGAUCAUGCCCUGGACUGAAGGCGACGCUAAACCACUAGCCACCGGGGCUGCCCAGAAGAAGCCAUUUCUGUAGAGAUCUCUGCAGGAGGGGUUUAAGACAGAGGGAACAUCAAGUGCAAAGCUUUAGACAGACUUGAACUAUAUGGAGUUUAUAGAUCAAUGUUUUUCAGACUAUGGUUUGUGACCAAUCUGUGGGACUUAAAAUCAAUCUAGUAAGUUGCAACAAUUUUUAAAAAAUGAAAUAGAAUAGAAAAGAGUAAAAUAGGAAAAUCAGAGUGCAUUAUAUACUUCAAGAAUACAUUUUUCAUCAAAUGAUGUUGUGUGUGUGCAUGCACGUGUGGGUGUGUGUGCAUGCGUAGUCAUGCACAUGCUUCUGAGUGCAUAUACGAAUCACAACAUAAAAUGUAUUUUUCCCUAUAAGGCUCAAAGAAGAGCUUGAAAGACACUAUUAUACAGCUAUCAAAGGAUAUGAAUACUACUCCACGUGGAAUGAGGCAGAAAGGGAAUUUUGAAACCACAUACAUACAUACAAAGGAAGAAUGAGCUGCUCAAAAGCAAAAGCUGGAUCCACUGAUCCAGUCCCAUUUCUUUAGCAAGAUCAGAUUUAUGUAUUUAGGAAACUAAAAAUUGGACUGCAGGUCAUGGUGUGUUUUACAUCUGGGCUGGCCAUUCGGAGGUUCAAGUAGCCAUCCACACCUAUUCUGCAUUGAACAGCCUUGGGCAAACUACAAAAAGGUGCCCCGUUGGCAUGGGCAGAUUAUAAAAGAAGUUAUCUCCUCUGAGGUAGAGUGGAAUGGCAAUGACCUCUCCAGGGUAACUAGGCUGCAUUGCUUGGCAGGUGACUUUUACCCUCCAUCCCCCACUUUUUCCAUAGCUGAGUAGCUUUUACCUUACAGGGUCUAUACAACUGUAUUUGGAAUCCUUGGAUAUUCCCAGAAUCUCCUGUGCUUUGCAUCCCAUCCAUCAAAUUCCAAUAGUAUUUGCUAUCUUGGAUGGUAAUUAUUUACUUGUCAGUCUUUAGGAUUUUUAGGCAAUAUCAGUACCUAGUACAGAGUCUAGUUCAAAAUUAUGUUAAAAAAUGAAGCAAGUAGUUGGCUAGGAAUUGACGAAGUGAAUGAAUAUAUUAGACAUGGAUAUGAGAAACCACACAGAGCUUGCACAUAGAACAAUGUGAAAUAAUGACAAAUGGAAGAAUGUCUGAGGAUCAGGCCAAGUUCUAAUGUACACCCUGAAAGUUCCUUUUAGCCCCAUCUACCUCACUUAUUCUUACUUCCCGAUUUUUGCUCUUGCUUUUUCCUAAUAAUCCAUUUUCUUAUUUUCAGUUGGACUAUUGUUGGUGGCUGAGCCCCUGCUCUGACAUUUCCACAAGUCACUUUGGUCUAGCAUGAUUUGCUUUUGCUUUUUCACAUCUUGGUUUUUCCUCUAUGAUAACCAAUCAGCUGGUUUAGCUAAUCUCAUACCACUGAAAAAUCCGUCUGUCACAUGUCUAACUUCUUAAGUCCUGACAUUCUCCCUCACAGUGAGCCUGGCCCAUUUCACCCCUUUCAUGUUACCCAAUUUAGACUGACUUCCCAUAUUGUGCCUUCAUUUAUCAAAUGAAAUUAGUCACUUGGCAUAUCAAGCAUUUUGAAAUAUUCAUAUGCAGGCAUAACAUAGAAGUCUGUACAUAUCAGCAGUAAUUAAUGUUAAAAUAAACAGGGUAAAUUUACUUAUUCCAACAUUGCCAUUAUUAUUUAAUUAAAAUAAUUUAUACAGUACUUUUAUACCUAGCAUAGUAAGCAUAUUAUUUAAAAUUCACGUGAAUCAUUAAUAUAGUAAAGAGCUGUGAAGACUAUUUCUUUUUUUAUGAUUUUUUAAAUUUAUUUAUAAAAUAAUUUUUAUCAUGAAGACCUGGCACAGAGUGUGGUUAUUAAUAAGGUGAUUGUAGCUGUGUUUAAGUCAGGCAAAUAACCUGAACAAAUUAUUGACCAAGAUUCCAGUACCUAAUCCAAGAACUUCUUUUUUUUUUUUUUAAGAUUUUAUUUAUUUAUUCAUGAGAGACACAGAGAGGAAGAGACACAGGCAGAAGGAGAAGAAGGCUCCCUGUGGGAAGCCUGAUGUGGGGCUCCAUCCCAGGACCUGGGGAUCAUGACCUGAGCCAAAGGCAGAUGCUCAACUACUGAGCCACCCAGGUGCCCCCAAGAGUUUCAAUUAAUAUUUUGCUAGUUGAGAGGUUCUUUGUCAAGUAUGCAAAUAUUAAACAAUAUAAGAAGAAAUAUUCCACAUAUUUCAUUCAGCUUUACUGUUGGAAAAUAAAGUUUGUUUAUUUUUGUUUGUUUUUUACUCUAGUUUAUCAGCCAUGAUUGAGCUUUUCAAAAGAUAUGGAUUUUUGGAGUAUCUCCAUUCAAAUCUGAGUAAUUGUAAAUGCAAAUAGGCCUGUUAAAUAAGGUCUGUCUCUUUGUGCCAACAAAGUGAAAUGACUAACUUCAAAAAAUUCAAUGAGGAAUCAGAGUCAGCUUUACGGACAAUUAUUUAGGUCAUGCUGCCUUAACUUGGUCUUUGCUCAAAGAGUCAUUCUUUCAAUUUAGAGCAAAUUGUAGAAAAUGGAAAAAUCACCAAGAAUAAGGGCUUUUGUUUGUACACAUAUGCACAAAUUUUCUUUUGAUUGUAGGACAUGUACACAAAUUAUGCUGAGUAUGAUGUCUAUGACACUUUUGUUCCUCCUCCUACCUCACAUUCUGGUAUUAAAAAAAUAUUAUCAUGGUUUUGUUUUGGUUUGUUUGUUUGUUUUAUUUAAAUUUUAGUUAGUUAACAUCUAGUGCAAUAUUGUUUUCUGGAGUAAAAUUCAGUGAUUCAUCACUUAUAUAAUAAUCAAUGCUUAUCAUAACAAGUGCCCUCCUUAAUACCCAUACCCAUCACCCAUAUAGACUUCUAAAAUGCUGAGUGCAUAUUUUAUUUGCAAGAGGGGAGCUUAUAAAUUAAACCUUAAUUAUUACCUGCUCUAAGCUCUAAUAUAUAUAUGUAUAAAAUAGGCAUAAUAAUAGGUCCAUGUGAUGAGAAUACAAUGGGCUAAUACACCCAAAAUCUUUAAUACGGGAUCUGUCACAUACAGUAAUUGCUCAAUAAAUGUUAACUAUUGUUAUUACUGACAGAGUAGUGUUUGAGGCUUCAUUAUAUUUAAGAUUUGAUUCAUUUAUAAAAUAUCCAUCUCUCAAAUCCAUAUUAACUAUCUCAAAGGAAAAAGAAAGUCAUAAACAGAUAUAUAUGCAUGUUAAAUUGUACAGUGAGGUUUAGUGACGUCUGCAACUUACUUUGCAUCUAAAAAAAAAAAAA